Long non-coding RNA from Neoarius graeffei (lesser salmon catfish), 1565 nucleotides. RefSeq lists it as uncharacterized. The transcript has 3 exons. NCBI's taxonomy places the organism in Eukaryota, Metazoa, Chordata, Actinopteri, Siluriformes, Ariidae. The record is from RefSeq and is a predicted model, not a curated record.
GCAACAACAGACAGACAGAGGAGGGGAGAGCAACAACAGAGACAGACAAUGAAGGAGAGCAACAACAGACAGACAAUGAAGGAGAGCAACAACAGAGACAGACAAUGAAGGAGAGCAACAACAGACAGACAAUGAAGGAGAGAAACAACAGAGACAGACAAUGAAGGAGAGCAACAACAGACAGACAAUGAAGGAGAGCAACAACAGAGACAGACAAUGAAGGAGAGCAACAACAGACAGACAAUGAAGGAGAGAAACAACAGAGACAGACAAUGAAGGAGAGCAACAACAGACAGACAAUGAAGGAGAGCAACAACAGACAGACAAUGAAGGAGAGCAACAACAGACAGACAAUGAAGAAGAGCAACAACAGAGACAGACAAUGAAGGAGAGCAACAACAGACAGACAAUGAAGGAGAGCAACAACAGACAGACAAUGAAGGAGAGCAACAACAGAGACAGACAAUGAAGGAGAGCAACAACACAGACAGACAAUGAAGGAGAGCAACAACAGACAGACAAUGAAGGAGAGCAACAACAGAGACAGACAAUGAAGGAGAGCAACAACAGAGACAGACAAUGAAGGAGAGCAACAACAGACAGACAGAGGAGGGGAGAGCAACAACAAAGACAGACAAUGAAGGAGAGCAACAACAGACAGACAAUGAAGGAGAGCAACAACAGAGACAGACAAUGAAGGAGAGCAACAACAGACAGACAAUGAAGGAGAGCAACAACAGACAGACAAUGAAGGAGAGCAACAACAGACAGACAAUGAAGGAGAGCAACAACAGACAGACAAUGAAGAAGAGCAACAACAGAGACAGACAAUGAAGGAGAGCAACAACAGAGACAGACAAUGAAGGAGAGCAACAACAGACAGACAGAGGAGGGGAGAGCAACAACAGAGACAGACAAUGAAGGAGAGCAACAACAGACAACUGAGGACUUUCAGCUCCCAAUUUCACCAUGAACUCCUCUGAUCUGAGAGAGAUUUCCUCACUCCAGCAAACGAGAGAUGUUGAUUGACAGUGAAGCUGGGUGAGUCGUCACAUCCAGGAGAAACACAGAGAGACGGGAAACUCUACAGAGAGGAAACACAGAAUAGAGAAGGAGAAAAGUGUAGGAGAGGAACGAAUGAAUCUCAGACUGAAUCAGACCAAAGACACACUUGGGAUCUCAGACAGGAACAUUUAUUGUUGCUGUAAUGUGUGUGUGUGUGUGUGUGUGUGUGUGUGUGUGUGUGUGUGUGUGUGUGUGUGUUUCACGCCUCACUUUAAUAGUGUCCAGAGUCUGUUUCAGCUCCUGCACCUUCUUCUGCUCCUCCUGGAUCCUCUGCUGGGAUUUCAUCUGCUCCUCCUUUAGCUCAUUCUGAGGCUAAAUAAAAUACAUUUUAUUAUUUCUGGAUCAAAAACUCAGUGUGUCAAUAUGAACUGCAACUAAACGUUUAAAGUUUUAAUGAGAAAGUAAAGUCUCAUCUCAUCUCAUUAUCUCUAGCCGCUUUAUCCUGUUCUACAGGGUCGCAGGCAAGCUGGAGCCUAUCCCAGCUGACUACGGGCAAAAGG